This is a long non-coding RNA of Fundulus heteroclitus (mummichog), 358 nucleotides long. RefSeq lists it as uncharacterized. Lineage: Eukaryota; Metazoa; Chordata; Actinopteri; Cyprinodontiformes; Fundulidae. The record is from RefSeq and is a predicted model, not a curated record. The transcript is spliced from 2 exons.
AUCGCCGCCAAUACCUUGUAGGAGAAGAAAACACAUGUGCAUCAAAGAAAAUCAAAGGAAACAUUAUAUCAGGCGAGGAUUGCCUUUACUUUGGAAUACUGUUUCCAACCAACCAAAAGGUUUUCUUUUGUUUUGGGUCAUUACGGGCCCCUAACAAAGAGAAAAGUGAGGCUCAAAGGUAGAAGUUUGGCUUUAUUUGUCUCAUACUUGGUGUCCUCUCAAACCGUUUUAAGGUGAAAACAGCUCCCAGGAAAGCAGCGACAACAAGCCAACCACGCUAACCUACAGGAAGCCGAAAACAGCUCCACAGCAGCUACACAGUCCAAUGUUGUUAGAAAUAAAGAUAAACUGGACUGAG